GGGUGGAGUGCGACCCCGAGUGGGGGAUCGGGUUAUGGGUCGGGAUCCGGGAGGUCACCAACUGGAUUUGGUAGGGGGUAUGGUUAUGGGUCUGGUUCUGGGGGUGGACAUGGCUCUGGGUCAGGCUAUGGUUCCGGGGGUGGUGGAGCUCGUGGCGGAGGCUCUGGGUCUGGGGGUGGCGGAGCUCAUGGUGGCAGCUAUGGGUCUGGGGGUGGUUAUGGAAGUUCGGGCGGUGGUGGUGGAGCUGGUGGCGGUGGAGGGACAAACAACCACGGCUGAUGAGAUAAUUGGCUGAGAGUUAGGGUUUCAUGAACCCCAGGCCAGUUUGAAGUGUGUACUAUAUGAUAAGCAUAUUAUACAACUAGUUAGAUACAUGCAUGCAAGCUUUUAAUAAAUUUUACGCGACUUUGACAAAUAAUAGUAGCAUUGCUCGUAUAUUUAUUAUUUCGUGUGGUAGUUCAUAGUUUGAUGUGUUGCCAUCUCUCUCUGGCUUAUGUUUUUAAUUUAGCAGAUAACAACGUGAGUUUGUAAAACGUUUGCUUCACAGCCCUAAUCAUCGUUCUGUCUAUUUCAAUAUAUUGAUAUUUCUCUUCUCAAUACUGAAAGAAC
RNAcentral lists this long non-coding RNA (609 nucleotides) under Malus domestica (apple). RNAcentral's name for it is "long non-coding RNA (MDOM_LNC001124)". Lineage: Eukaryota; Viridiplantae; Streptophyta; Magnoliopsida; Rosales; Rosaceae. The record is from RNAcentral.